RNAcentral lists this long non-coding RNA (556 nucleotides) under Ananas comosus (pineapple). RNAcentral's name for it is "long non-coding RNA (ACOM_LNC041532)". The record is from RNAcentral. Lineage: Eukaryota; Viridiplantae; Streptophyta; Magnoliopsida; Poales; Bromeliaceae.
GUUACGCCAUCCAUCAUGCCAUCGUCUUCAGUGUCGGAGGAUACAAUAUUCACUUUAGCUGCACGGUCGUACAAAAUAUUAGUAUCUAAGUAUCUAUUGCAAAAUGGAAUAAAACAGUAGUUGAAUCUUGGUCGGGUGGAGUUCGGAGUCGACAUGAUAGAUGUCUAGUUAUAAGAAUGAGCAAAAAACAAAUAGGGAUAAGGAAUUAGCACAAUAGUAUUCGAGAGGAGGAGGGAUGUGAAGAAGGAGGCUUAUUUAUAAGUGGACAUAUCGGUGUAAAAGGUAUUUUGGUGGGCCCUUUAGCCCUACAGAUGUUCCAGGUGGGCCCUUUAGCCCUACAGAUGUUCCGGAGAACUGAAUAACUGUUCCAUUUUUAUGCUAUAGCUGCACAACCAAAGCCUACUAUAUAGAAGACUUAGGAUUGGUGAUGCUCGUUUACUCAGGUAUGUAGGUUAAUAAUUUGUGGUGAAAUUACACUUGAGAAAAAGUGUUUAGAAGACUUAGGAUUGGUUGUAAACAGAUAAAUUGAAAAAUUCUGAGUUUUUCAAUAUUAGGG